This 525-nucleotide ribosomal RNA is filed under the name uncultured Bacteroidota bacterium. RNAcentral describes it as "bacterial SSU rRNA". It matches the Rfam family "Bacterial small subunit ribosomal RNA", at positions 339 to 864 of the family's 1533-position model. The record is from RNAcentral. Lineage: Bacteria; Pseudomonadati; Bacteroidota.
CUACGGGAGGCAGCAGUAAGGAAUAUUGGUCAAUGGACGCAAGUCUGAACCAGCCAUGCCGCGUGGAGGAUGACGGCCCUCUGGGUUGUAAACUCCUUUUAUCUGGGAAGAAAUGCAGACUUUCUAGUNUGUUUGACGGUACCAGAGGAAUAAGCACCGGCUAACUCCGUGCCAGCAGCCGCGGUAAUACGGAGGGUGCAAGCGUUAUCCGGAUUCACUGGGUUUAAAGGGUGCGUAGGUGGAGUGGUAAGUCAGUGGUGAAAUCUCCAAGCUUAACUUGGAAACUGCCGUUGAUACUAUCAUUCUUGAAUAUCGUGGAGGUAAGCGGAAUAUGUCAUGUAGCGGUGAAAUGCUUAGAUAUGACAUAGAACACCGAUUGCGAAGGCAGCUUACUACACGAUCAUUGACACUGAGGCACGAAAGCGUGGGGAUCAAACAGGAUUAGAUACCCUGGUAGUCCACGCCCUAAACGAUGAUUACUCGACAUCAGCGAUACACUGUUGGUGUCUGAGCGAAAGCAUUAAG